This 253-nucleotide ribosomal RNA is filed under the name uncultured bacterium. Its description in RNAcentral is "partial 16S ribosomal RNA". It matches the Rfam family "Bacterial small subunit ribosomal RNA", at positions 524 to 776 of the family's 1533-position model. The record is from RNAcentral.
GACGAACCGUGCGAACGUUAUUCGGAAUCACUGGGCUUAAAGGGCGCGUAGGCGGGCUCGCAGGUCAGGGGUGAAAGCCCACGGCUCAACCGUGGAAGUGCCUUUGAUACCGUGAGUCUCGAGGGAGGUAGGGGCGUGCGGAACUUCCGGUGGAGCGGUGAAAUGCGUAGAUAUCGCUUGGAACGCCAACGGUGAAAACAGGUUGCUGGGGUUGUGCCGACGCUGAGACACGAAAGCCAGGGGAGCAAACGGG